Molecule: ribosomal RNA, 392 nt
Filed under: Hemidactylus brookii
Lineage: Eukaryota; Metazoa; Chordata; Lepidosauria; Squamata; Gekkonidae
Description: partial 16S ribosomal RNA
Rfam family: Archaeal large subunit ribosomal RNA
Source: RNAcentral
GUCCCGCCUGCCCAGUGAAUAAUCAUUUAAACGGCCGCGGUAUCCUAACCGUGCAAAGGUAGCAUAAUCACUUGUCCCCUAAUUAGGGACCCGUAUGAACGGCUAACCGAGGGCAAACCUGUCUCCUACAGCCAAUCAAUGAAAUUGAUCUUCUAGUACAAAAGCUAGAAUAUGCGCAUAAGACGAGAAGACCCUGUGGAGCUUUAAGCUAACUACUACCCCACUACAAUAGUACCUCAGCUUUAAGUUGGGGCGACUACGGAGAACAACAGAACCUCCACGACAACGCUAGCCUCUCACCAGGGCUACACCCCAAACAGAAGAAGGCACUGACCCAGCUAACACUGAUCUACGAACCAAGUUACCCCAGGGAUAACAGCGCCAUCCCCUUC